Molecule: RNA transcript, 4751 nt
Organism: Tyto alba (common barn owl)
Lineage: Eukaryota; Metazoa; Chordata; Aves; Strigiformes; Tytonidae
Gene: LCMT2
Gene name: leucine carboxyl methyltransferase 2
Exons: 29
Source: RefSeq, a predicted model, not a curated record
GGGGCCGCGCGCCGCUCGUCACUGACCGCGCCGGGCGCCGCGCUCGCGCUCCGGUGAAGCGCAGGAUGGGCCGGGGGCGUCCGGGCACCCCGCGCCCCGCCGCCGUCCAGGGCACCGGCGGCAGCAGCGCCGUCAGCAAGUGCUCGGCGGCGGAGCGGGGCUACAUCCAGGACCGGUUCCUGCGGCUCCUGGCGGGGCGGCAGCGGCGGCGAGCCCCGCUCGUCCACCGGGGUUAUUACAUCCGCGCCCGUGCUAUAGAUCACUGUGUUCAAGACUUCCUGCAGAAGACCCAAAGCCACCCCAAGACACAGAUCCUGUCUUUAGGUGCUGGCUUUGACUCCUUAUACUUCCGUUUGAAGGACGUAGGUCUUCUGCAUCACACUGUGGUAUGUGAAGUGGAUUUCCCAAAUGUGGCAUGCCAAAAAGCUGCUCUGAUCAAAAGAAUGAAAGAGUUGUCGGCACUGGUGGGAGAUGCUGGAGGGGAAAGAUUAGGAGCCGUUACCUUUUCUGGAGAGGAUUAUAAAUUACUGGGAGUGGAUUUAUCAGAGCUAUCUGAGCUGGAGAGAGCCCUACAGGAAGCAGAACUGGACAAUGAAAUCCCCACCCUCUUCAUAGCAGAGGUCGUGCUCACCUACAUGGAAAACAGCAGGUCAGAUGCCUUGAUUCAGUGGGCAGCAGAGCGUUUCUCCCAGGCAUGCUUUCUGCUGUAUGAGCAGAUGCACCCAGAGGACCCCUUUGGACGUGUCAUGCAGCAGCAUUUUAGCCAGAUGAACUCUGCACUUCGUUCUUUGGCACAGUACCCUGAUUGCAAGGCACAGCAAAGGCGUUUUUUUGAAAAGGGCUGGACCGAGUGCAGUGUCAUGGAUAUGAAUGAGUUUUUCACCUGUUGUACUCCAGAAGAUGAGCAGCAAAGAGUGCAGGCUCUGGAGCCUUUUGAUGAAUAUGAGGAAUGGCAUCUGAAAUGUUCUCAUUACUUUGUGUUGACUGCAUCAAAGGGGAUGGAACCUUCCUGGACUCCAUUGUUAUCCAAUAUGACAGUUCCUCAUCGUGAUGGUCCUGUCAGAAUGGCUGGGAGUGUCACUGCAGCAGUGUGUGCAAUGCACUCUGAAAUUCCUGGCCUGAGACGUUAUGGUCACUGCUCUGUUCUUAUAAAGCCUAAUGUGAUUCUCACCACUGGAGGCUUUGGGGAGGAGGACGGACAGCACUGCCGUAUGAGAAAUUUUCAUGUGCUAAUUAAGCACAUGGGCUACUGGAAAGCUGGCUUUGUGAAAAAGGAAAAUCCUGAUAAAAGAUGGGAUGAGCGGUUGUACCAUACUGUGUCAUGUCUCUCAAACAGUCUGGCCCUGGUGGUAGGAGGACGAACAUCCCCAUCAAGUGCAGGCUUGGGAAUGUUGUGGCUAAAGUUCCCUGAAACCUGUAAUGCCUUGGACCCAGAUGACAUAACAGUGGAGCUUGUAAAUGUGCAGCCUGCUGCGGAACCAGCUGCUUUGCGUUGGAGACACAGUACAACUGAAGUAAUAUUCAAAGGUGAGAAGUACUUGUUUCUGUAUGGUGGUCGCUCUGUUAUGGAACCUGUGCUGGGGGAUUGGUAUUUCCUGCACACUCAAGAACUUUCCUGCACUGUGAUUCCCGUUGAGGGUCCAGUACCAGAAGGCCGUCACUCUCACAGUGCCUGUAGCUGGAAAGGAGGAGUGCUAAUUGCAGGAGGUCUGGGAGCUGCUGAGCAACCCUUAGGUUCAGUUUUCUUCCUGAGGGAGCUUGAACAUGGGUUUCAGUGGCAGACAGUAGAGACACACCCUCCUCUCAUACCAAGGUAUUCACAUACUGCACACGUACACGAUGGAAAACUUCUGCUUGUUGGUGGAGUGUGGUUUCACCCAUCCUCUGUGCCAGGUAUCACUGUCAUUGACUUAAUGACUGGUCUCUGCUUGGACUAUACGAUUAAUGUGGAGCAUCUGGAGUGGCCAUUAAUGCUACAUAAUCAUAGUAGCGUCUUUCUGCCAAAUGAGAAGGAGUUGUUGCUUAUUGGAGGUGGUGGGAACUGCUUCUCCUUUGGGACACACCUGAAUCCAGAGCCUGUCUUGUUGAACCUCAGCAACAUCCUGUCCAGCCACUGACUGGGACCAAACAGGACUGAACGAUGCCGCUGCACUGUGAUGCAGAGGGGCAAGCCAUGCACCAAAGGGCCACAGAGGAAAGGCAGGCAGAAUGCCAUGAGAAGGUACAAAGCAAUGAGCAAAGUGGGAUAUCAGCACCAGAGCUGACUUAGGCAAGAGGUGAUGCACAAUCCUCAAGGUGGCAGCCCAAAACGGUGGACACCGGGCAGGCAAGUGGUCAAAGUAAAGGAGCAGGAGGUAGGAAUCACUGUGUGAUGUGGUUUCAGGCAGUAGCUCAGCUUGUGCCUCUUGCUUCAGUUUUUGUAGGUGCUGCCCACAGCCUUGGAGGGGUGAAGCUGUACACUGAUGAGCAGUCCAAGAAGGUGCUGUGCAGGCUGCCUUUGGAACUGGAUGAGCACUUGAGAUGCCACAGGUGGUGAAGGCUGCAGCAUCGGAUUCUGGAAUCAGUGCAGAGCAGGUGCAGAGGGAUGAGAUGCACACCAGAGUGAUGGAGGAGGUGGUGUGCAAGCCUCAAUGUGGCAACCUGUAAACUGCAGAGAUACGGUGCCGCAGGUAGCCUCGGAGGGGCAAAGUCGCAUGCUGCUAGGCAGUCCAGGAAGGUGAGGAGGUUGUUGGCUGGGCUGGUGUCUAAUAACAAAGUAUUAUAUGGCAACUUGGUUAAGCAUUUACCUCAGUUUUGCAGGUGCUGUGGGAGCCACCUUUGGAAUUGGAUGAGCCUUUGAGGUGCAGAGGGAUAAGAUGCAUGCCAAAGUGACAGAGGAGGUGUGAAGUGGUGAGCAAAAUGGAAUAUUGACACCAGAGCUGGCUCAGGCAAGCUGCCUUUGGAAUUGGAUGAACACUUGAGGUGAUGAAGAGGAAGCAGGCAACUAAAGGGACAUCCCUGUUAGCUGAUGUGUUUUUUCUGUUGAGGAUGGAUUCAGACCUCUGGGCCUUUGAAAACUAUGAUGAGGGGACCAGGGCUGGAGAGGGGCUGGGAGGAGUGGACAAGGUGCAGAGUGACGAGCCGUGUGCCGCCGGGUGACAGAAGAGGUGUGAAUAGAUGAGUGAAGUGGGAUAUCUGUACCGGAGCAGACUUUAGCAAGGUGCUGCAUUCCUUUCCAGAGGGUUGAAGCUGCACAGCUAGGAGCAGUUUGAGAAAAGGCAAAAGUUAAGUGGUCCGCUUGGGCAGAAUUGCCGAGGGUCCGUGCAACUGUGAUGUAUUACUUUGAAAGCUGGAGCAGAGCAGGUAACAGAGUGGCAUGAAGUGAUUAAAGGAACCUCGUAUUUAGGCGACAAGGCCAUGAUCAAGGAUGGCUACUGAGCAUGGACCGUGACAUGUGGCACCAUGAAAGCUAAGUAGUGGGACAAAUCUGUGGGGAGUGGAGUCCAUGUGUGUCCAAACGUUGGCAUAACGGGAGGGUUAGUCUGUGGGGAGUCAGCCUUGUGCAAGUGGAGGGAGUGAUAUGUCUCGUGACAUGUGUGCCCUGGCAAAGCAGCUCUGGGAUGAGCGGGUGGAGUUGUGCAGCAUGUCUAGAGUGUGUUCAUCAUACGUGUUCCUUAGUUACCUGACGCGUUGAUGUUUGUCUUGGCCUUCAUGUCUGAGAAGCCUCGGGCAUACUCAUCCUACUGCAGUGACGAUAGCCAUCCGUUGCAUCUCUGCGGCCUCCCGUUAUCGGCGCAGUGCCAAUUAUGACUCGUUUAGCAGUGUGACACAGAAGCUCAGUGUUGCCCGUCUGGUUUAGCGUUGUGGGUGCAUUUGGCCAGCCUUUCUUGCAGCUCUGGCUUGGGCCUAACCAUCAGGUCUCAUCUUGAUGACACCCUCUCUCGAGACUGCUUCCAGAGUACUUCCUAUGUCAUCCCAGUCUUCAGUCUUUCCCAGCAAUUUGUCUCCAUCGGUCACGGCAGGUUUAUCAGGCCAGGCUGGAGUGUUUGCCUCACGUGGCCUCGGCACUGUUGUGCGUGCUGUCAGGCUGUGUUUUCUGGUCUGGCAUCAACUCUACUCUGUCUGGUAUUUUCGCAUCCUUAGGUCAUGUUCGUAGUUUGUAUAGUGUGUGUGUGAGGUGGAGCUGCUUUGUCUGUAUAGCAAUUCUUGUUGAUGUUGGAACGAUCCAAGCGUGGGAUGAUGUGAUGAUGAGCAUGGCCUGUUUGGGUGGAGGUUGUAGAAGCUGGUUUUGGGGAUAGCCUGUAGCUAUUGGUGAGCAGGUCCUAGAGUCCUUUCUUUUAUCUUUUGCAGGUGUCACCGGGACAUUCGGAUUCUGGGAGCAAAUCCUUCCGUGAGGCUUGCUGGAGCGUGCACUUCAAAGAACAGGAGGAGUAGAAGUGGUGCAAAGAGGGAAGCAUAUCCCUGUGCUUCCAGUUAGGAAGGGUAAUGCUGUGAAAUCAUGUGGACUGGUGAUGUUGUGUUGAGGUGCACGGUGAUGCAGUUCCAGGGAUGGUUAUGGAAUUGGGGUGAUCUGCCACUCUGGCACGUGAUGAAAUGGAUAAGUUUUGAGUGAGGGAUGGAAUGAGCAGAUGCCAAAUGAGUGUUAGUUUUGGAAUGUGUCUAUCCUUGUAGGUGUGGAUUUCUUUUAUUUCAGGUUGUACUGAAUGUAGAGGUAGUUAAUGUUUUCUUAACAAUAAAUAAAAAAACCCCUCAAGCUGGGUGGUGUGUUUUGA